CCUACGGGCGGCUGCAGUGGGGAAUAUUGCGCAAUGGGCGAAAGCCUGACGCAGCGACGCCGCGUGAGGGAUGAAGGUCUUCGGAUCGUAAAACCCUGUUGUUAGAGAAGAAAGUGCGUGAGAGUAACUGUUCACGUUUCGACGGUAUCUAACCAGAAAGCCACGGCUAACUACGUGCCAGCAGCCGCGGUAAUACGUAGGUGGCAAGCGUUAUCCGGAUUUAUUGGGCGUAAAGGGAACGCAGGCGGUCUUUUAAGUCUGAUGUGAAAGCCUUCGGCUUAACCGGAGUAGUGCAUUGGAAACUGGGAGACUUGAGUGCAGAAGAGGAGAGUGGAACUCCAUGUGUAGCGGUGAAAUACGUAGAUAUAUGGAAGAACACCGGUGGCGAAAGCGGCUCUCUGGUCUGUAACUGACGCUGAGGUUCGAAAGCGUGGGUAGCAAACAGGAUUAGAUACCCCUGUAGUC
Molecule: ribosomal RNA, 465 nt
Filed under: uncultured bacterium
Lineage: Bacteria
Description: partial 16S ribosomal RNA
Rfam family: Bacterial small subunit ribosomal RNA
Source: RNAcentral